CGAGAUAUUUAACGACUAACGGGUUAAUAUCCUAAAUAUCUAACCUACCCUACCCCUAACCACCCCCAAACCUCCCAAAACCCCUUUCCCCUCACUAACUCACGCUAUAUCAGCCCACACCACACACACAACUCACAUAUUCACACACACAACACCUAAAACACACACUACACACGCCAUUUUCCAUUUAAGCUUGGACGGAGCUUUUGACCUCCGAUUUGAGCACCGAGACGAGCGCCGAUCAUCUUUUCGAUCACGUAUCUAAGUAGGUUGAGCUGAUGUGAUGAUGGUGCUGCAAUGAGCGGAGUCUCCAGGGUUGUUAAUAAAUAGUUAACCUGUCUAGAAUAUGUCUUCAUACAUAUGUCUAGCUACUUUCCGCUGCAAGAUGUUGUUGAUGUUAUAGUAUGUUAUGUCAUACUUUGAGUCUUAAGAGAAUGGUUGCAUAUGAUGUAUAACUUGAUUAAUGAUAUUAAUUAACUUUUAUGCAGUCUUUCAUAGACUGUUUUCAAUUGAGUAUUAAUGAAUAAAAAUGACGAGUUUAAUUAA
Long non-coding RNA from Salvia miltiorrhiza (redroot sage), 546 nucleotides. RefSeq lists it as uncharacterized. The record is from RefSeq and is a predicted model, not a curated record. The transcript has 2 exons. NCBI's taxonomy places the organism in Eukaryota, Viridiplantae, Streptophyta, Magnoliopsida, Lamiales, Lamiaceae.